GACGAACGCUGGCGGCGUGCUUAACACAUGCAAGUCGAACGGAAAGGCCCUGCUUUUGUGUGGUUCUCGAGUGGCGAACGGGUGAGUAACACGUGAGUAACCUGCCCUUGACUGUGGGAUAACUUCAGGAAACUGGGGCUAAUACCGGAUAGGAGCUCCUGCUGCAUGGUGGGGGUUGGAAAGUUUCGGCGGUUGGGGAUGGACUCGCGGCUUAUCAGCUUGUUGGUGGGGUAGUGGCUUACCAAGGCUUUGACGGGUAGCCGGCCUGAGAGGGUGGCCGGCCACAUUGGGACUGAGAGACGGCGCAGACUCCUACGGGAGGCAGCAGUGGGGAGUAUUGCACAGUGGGCGGAAGCCUGAUGCGGCAACGCCGCGUGCGGGAUGACGGCCUUCGGGUUGUAAACCGCUUUCGCCUGUGACGAAGCGUGAGUGACGGUAAUGGGUAAAGAAGCACCGGCUAACUACGUG
RNAcentral lists this ribosomal RNA (468 nucleotides) under uncultured bacterium. RNAcentral describes it as "partial 16S ribosomal RNA". It matches the Rfam family "Bacterial small subunit ribosomal RNA", at positions 28 to 507 of the family's 1533-position model. The record is from RNAcentral.